RNAcentral lists this ribosomal RNA (620 nucleotides) under Achromobacter sp. RNAcentral describes it as "bacterial SSU rRNA". It matches the Rfam family "Bacterial small subunit ribosomal RNA", at positions 56 to 673 of the family's 1533-position model. Lineage: Bacteria; Pseudomonadati; Pseudomonadota; Betaproteobacteria; Burkholderiales; Alcaligenaceae. The record is from RNAcentral.
UGCAGUCGACGGCAGCACGGACUUCGGUCUGGUGGCGAGUGGCGAACGGGUGAGUAAUGUAUCGGAACGUGCCCAGUAGCGGGGGAUAACUACGCGAAAGCGUAGCUAAUACCGCAUACGCCCUACGGGGGAAAGCAGGGGAUCGCAAGACCUUGCACUAUUGGAGCGGCCGAUAUCGGAUUAGCUAGUUGGUGGGGUAACGGCUCACCAAGGCGACGAUCCGUAGCUGGUUUGAGAGGACGACCAGCCACACUGGGACUGAGACACGGCCCAGACUCCUACGGGAGGCAGCAGUGGGGAAUUUUGGACAAUGGGGGAAACCCUGAUCCAGCCAUCCCGCGUGUGCGAUGAAGGCCUUCGGGUUGUAAAGCACUUUUGGCAGGAAAGAAACGUCGCGGGUUAAUACCCCGCGAAACUGACGGUACCUGCAGAAUAAGCACCGGCUAACUACGUGCCAGCAGCCGCGGUAAUACGUAGGGUGCAAGCGUUAAUCGGAAUUACUGGGCGUAAAGCGUGCGCAGGCGGUUCGGAAAGAAAGAUGUGAAAUCCCAGAGCUUAACUUUGGAACUGCAUUUUUAACUACCGGGCUAGAGUGUGUCAGAGGGAGGUGAAAUUCCGCG